This 486-nucleotide ribosomal RNA is filed under the name uncultured bacterium. Its description in RNAcentral is "partial 16S ribosomal RNA". It matches the Rfam family "Bacterial small subunit ribosomal RNA", at positions 30 to 507 of the family's 1533-position model. The record is from RNAcentral.
AUUGAACGCUGGCGGCAUGCCUUACACAUGCAAGUCGAACGGCAGCACGGGUGCUUGCACCUGGUGGCGAGUGGCGAACGGGUGAGUAAUACAUCGGAACAUGUCCUGUAGUGGGGGAUAGCCCGGCGAAAGCCGGAUUAAUACCGCAUACGAUCUACGGAUGAAAGCGGGGGACCUUCGGGCCUCGCGCUAUCGGGUUGGCCGAUGGCUGAUUAGCUAGUUGGUGGGGUAAAGGCCAACCAAGGCGACGAUCAGUAGCUGGUCUGAGAGGACGACCAGCCACACUGGGACUGAGACACGGCCCAGACUCCUACGGGAGGCAGCAGUGGGGAAUUUUGGACAAUGGGCGAAAGCCUGAUCCAGCAAUGCCGCGUGUGUGAAGAAGGCCUUCGGGUUGUAAAGCACUUUUGUCCGGAAAGAAAUCCUUGGCCCUAAUACGGUCGGGGGAUGACGGUACCGGAAGAAUAAGCACCGGCUAACUACGUG